RNAcentral lists this ribosomal RNA (330 nucleotides) under uncultured Hyphomicrobiales bacterium. Its description in RNAcentral is "bacterial SSU rRNA". It matches the Rfam family "Bacterial small subunit ribosomal RNA", at positions 568 to 898 of the family's 1533-position model. The record is from RNAcentral. Lineage: Bacteria; Pseudomonadati; Pseudomonadota; Alphaproteobacteria; Hyphomicrobiales.
UGCGCAGGCGGCUUCUCAAGUCAGGGGUGAAAGCCCAGAGCUCAACUCUGGAACUGCCUUUGAGACUGAGUGGCUUGAGUACGGGAGAGGUGAGUGGAAUUCCCAGUGUAGAGGUGAAAUUCGUAGAUAUUGGGAAGAACACCGGUGGCGAAGGCGGCUCACUGGCCCGUAACUGACGCUCAUGCACGACAGCGUGGGGAUCAAACAGGAUUAGAUACCCUGGUAGUCCACGCCGUAAACUAUGAACGCUAGCCGUUGGGUAGCUUGCUAUUCAGUGGCGCAGCUAACGCAUUAAGCGUUCCGCCUGGGGAGUACGGCCGCAAGGUUGAA